GUGUCCUACGGGACGCAGCAGUGAGGAAUAUUGGUCAAUGGUCGGGAGACUGAACCAGCCAAGCCGCGUGAGGGAUGAAGGUACAGAGUAUCGUAAACCUCUUUUGUCAGGGAACAAAGGCGGGGACGUGUCCCCGGAUGAGUGUACCUGAAGAAAAAGCAUCGGCUAACUCCGUGCCAGCAGCCGCGGUAAUACGGAGGAUGCGAGCGUUAUCCGGAUUUAUUGGGUUUAAAGGGUGCGUAGGCGGGUUAUCAAGUCAGCGGUAAAAUCGUGGAGCUCAACUCCAUUCAGCCGUUGAAACUGAU
This 305-nucleotide ribosomal RNA is filed under the name uncultured bacterium. RNAcentral's name for it is "bacterial SSU rRNA". It matches the Rfam family "Bacterial small subunit ribosomal RNA", at positions 334 to 637 of the family's 1533-position model. The record is from RNAcentral.